GACGAACGCUGGCGGCGUGCCUAAUACAUGCAAGUAGAACGCUGAAGGAGGAGCUUGCUUCUCUGGAUGAGUUGCGAACGGGUGAGUAACGCGUAGGUAACCUGCCUGGUAGCGGGGGAGAACUAUUGGAAACGAUAGCUAAUACCGCAUAAGAGUAGAUGUCGCAUGACAUUUGCUUAAAAGGUGCAAUUGCAUCACUACCAGAUGGACCUGCGUUGUAUUAGCUAGUUGGUGAGGUAACGGCUCACCAAGGCAACGAUACAUAGCCGACCGGAGAGGGGGAUUGGCCACACUGGGACUGAGACACGGCCCAGACUCCUACGGGAGGCAGCAGGAGGGGAUCUUCGGCAAUGGAGGGAAGUCUGACCGAGGCACGCCGCGUGAGGGAAGAAGGGUUUCGGAUCGUUAAGCUCCGUUGUUAGAGAAGGAAGAGGGUGAGAGUGGAAAGUUCACGCUGUGACGGUAGCUUAACAGAAAGCGACGGCUAACUACGUG
RNAcentral lists this ribosomal RNA (495 nucleotides) under uncultured bacterium. RNAcentral's name for it is "partial 16S ribosomal RNA". It matches the Rfam family "Bacterial small subunit ribosomal RNA", at positions 28 to 507 of the family's 1533-position model. The record is from RNAcentral.